This 971-nucleotide ribosomal RNA is filed under the name Cellulomonas sp. 73NP9. RNAcentral describes it as "bacterial SSU rRNA". It matches the Rfam family "Bacterial small subunit ribosomal RNA", at positions 93 to 1079 of the family's 1533-position model. Lineage: Bacteria; Bacillati; Actinomycetota; Actinomycetes; Micrococcales; Cellulomonadaceae. The record is from RNAcentral.
CAGUGGCGAACGGGUGAGUAACACGUGAGUAACCUGCCCUUGACUCUGGGAUAACCGCGGGAAACGGCGGCUAAUACCGGAUAUGAGACGUACAGGCAUCUGUUGCGUCUGGAAAGAUUUAUCGGUCAAGGAUGGGCUCGCGGCCUAUCAGCUUGUUGGUGGGGUGAUGGCCUACCAAGGCGACGACGGGUAGCCGGCCUGAGAGGGCGACCGGCCACACUGGGACUGAGACACGGCCCAGACUCCUACGGGAGGCAGCAGUGGGGAAUAUUGCACAAUGGGCGCAAGCCUGAUGCAGCGACGCCGCGUGAGGGAUGAAGGCCUUCGGGUUGUAAACCUCUUUCAGCAGGGAAGAAGCGCAAGUGACGGUACCUGCAGAAGAAGCGCCGGCUAACUACGUGCCAGCAGCCGCGGUAAUACGUAGGGCGCAAGCGUUGUCCGGAAUUAUUGGGCGUAAAGAGCUCGUAGGCGGUUUGUCGCGUCUGCUGUGAAAACCUGAGGCUCAACCUCGGGCUUGCAGUGGGUACGGGCAGACUAGAGUGCGGUAGGGGUGACUGGAAUUCCUGGUGUAGCGGUGGAAUGCGCAGAUAUCAGGAGGAACACCGAUGGCGAAGGCAGGUCACUGGGCCGCAACUGACGCUGAGGAGCGAAAGCAUGGGGAGCGAACAGGAUUAGAUACCCUGGUAGUCCAUGCCGUAAACGUUGGGCACUAGGUGUGGGGCUCAUUCCACGAGUUCCGUGCCGCAGCAAACGCAUUAAGUGCCCCGCCUGGGGAGUACGGCCGCAAGGCUAAACUCAAAGAAAUUGACGGGGGCCCGCACAAGCGGCGGAGCAUGCGGAUUAUUUCGAUGCAACGCGAAAAACCUUACCAAGGCUUGACAUACACCGGAAAAGUGCAGAGAUGUGCUCCCCGCAAGGUCGGUGUACAGGUGGUGCAUGGUUGUCGUCAGCUCGUGUCGUGAGAUGUUGGG